GUCCCUGUAGCGCAAUGGAUAACACGUUGGUCUUCUAAUCCAAAGGUUGUGGGUUCGAGUCCCAUCUGGGAUG
Molecule: transfer RNA, 73 nt
Filed under: Trichonephila inaurata madagascariensis
Lineage: Eukaryota; Metazoa; Arthropoda; Arachnida; Araneae; Nephilidae
Rfam family: tRNA
About the family: Transfer RNA (tRNA) molecules are approximately 80 nucleotides in length. Their secondary structure includes four short double-helical elements and three loops (D, anti-codon, and T loops).
Source: Rfam by way of RNAcentral